AUGCUUGCUUCGGUAAGCACAGAUACUAAAACUGGAAUGACAGAGCAGUUCAGCACAGCCCCUGUGCAAAGAUGACACCACAGAUUUGUGACGUCUUCCAUAUUUUU
Small nuclear RNA from Ochotona princeps (American pika), 107 nucleotides. NCBI's taxonomy places the organism in Eukaryota, Metazoa, Chordata, Mammalia, Lagomorpha, Ochotonidae. The record is from Ensembl.